Molecule: ribosomal RNA, 458 nt
Filed under: uncultured bacterium
Lineage: Bacteria
Description: bacterial SSU rRNA
Rfam family: Bacterial small subunit ribosomal RNA
Source: RNAcentral
GUGCCUAACACAUGCAAGUCGAGCGAGGAGAUUCCUUCGGGAUGAUCCUAGCGGCGGACGGGUGAGUAACACGUGGGCAACCUGCCUCAUAGAGAGGAAUAGCCUUCCGAAAGGGAGAUUAAUACCUCAUAACAUUGCAGUUUCGCAUGGAACAGCAAUUAAAGGAGUAAUCCGCUAUGAGAUGGGCCCGCGGCGCAUUAGCUAGUUGGUGAGGUAAUGGCUCACCAAGGCGACGAUGCGUAGCCGACCUGAGAGGGUGAUCGGCCACAUUGGGACUGAGACACGGCCCAGACUCCUACGGGAGGCAGCAGUGGGGAAUAUUGCACAAUGGGGGAAACCCUGAUGCAAGCAACGCCGCGUGAGUGAUGACGGCCUUCGGGUUGUAAAGCUCUGUCUUCAGGGACGAUAAUGACGGUACCUGAGGAGGAAGCCACGGCUAACUACGUGCCAGCAGCGGC